Molecule: long non-coding RNA, 1542 nt
Organism: Rana temporaria (common frog)
Lineage: Eukaryota; Metazoa; Chordata; Amphibia; Anura; Ranidae
Exons: 3
Source: RefSeq, a predicted model, not a curated record
AUUUGUUCAUGCUAAGUUUGUCUACGCAGCUCAAUGACUGAAAUUAAGAGUUUCCACUUCAGUCAACUUCAAUUCACAAAUUUUGUCUGCAGGGAGAUCAGUAAUUUAACUCUGCUUAGCUAUAAUCAUGACAUUUAAUCUUAUUACUCUUAUUGCAAGGCCUUUAAACAGGACAUCAUGGCUGGUUUAAUAAAUGAUCAAGAUACCAAAAAUGAGUAGAAGGCCAAGAGCAUCAAAGGAGAUGCAGGUGAGUUAUUUAGGAUAUGUUGUUGGUGUGCAUUUUUAAAAGAUGGUAAACAAGAGAAAAUAAAAAUGAAAAUUCUCUUUUUUUUCUCGGCACUGCUGCAGCUGGUGGAGCAUCAAAGAAAUUCAUAAUUACAGAGUCAAAAGAGAACCUGUGGCAGAAAAUGAACAUUGCAAGACUUUUUUGAUAGUGAAUUGGGGAUGAGCAAGCUGGACAUUCAGAAAACAGAGCAGGAAUUCCCCAAAUCCUGAACGUAGUAACAAGCUCUAUGGAAGUCUAUGGAAGCCUAUGUUGUUAUUUUUCUGCCUUUUUUUUUUACUUUCAAUACAUUUUUUAUUGAGAUUUCAUGUAGGGUUACAUUUUCUGCCUCUUUUUAAGGCUAAUUUGCAAGGGGAUGUCUUAAAACUGAAUUCAUUGUUACAGAACAGUAUGGCAUAGUAACAUUUAAAUGUUUAAAAAUGCCCCCUUUACCCUUCUCUUACCUAUGCUGCUUAAUCUGUGUAAAACAAUGUGUAUACUUACCUAUUUUCAGUCCGCACUGACCUGGCCAUGUGAUCCGCAGAUCCAGCUCCCCUGUGUCAGUCAGUGGCAACUGCAGGGGAGCAGAUGAAGCACCAAACAUGAAGUUCAUCCCUCUAGUGAAUGUGCUAACAGUUCUGGUUGUGCAGUGCGGAUUGAUCUCCAGCCUGACAAUGCCUGAUAAUGCCUACAUAAUUCCGACACCAAUGUCAUUUGGCAAAGUCAGUGGCAUACUACCCUUAUAACCUCUCCCCUCACCUCUCAGAAACAGAAACCGCUGCAAUUUGCAACCACUGAUGCACAAUGCUGAAGCGAGAAAAUGGGGCCCUAAUAUCUCUCUAGAAUUUGACCAUCUCUUUAAUAUGGAAUAUGGAACAUAUGAAGAGCUGCUAUACAUCCUUGAAAAGCUAAAAGAUAAAAAACAAGCCAUCCACUUCAUAAACAACUAUCAAGCCAUAGAAAACUCAUCAAUUUUGCUAAUGCUUUAACGACAAAGUUUAUACAGUAGGUUGUCCACUUUAGAACUGGGUUCAUGUGAGAGAAUGGACUACAAAAACCAUUUGCUCAAAAGAGCCACUGAAGUUCAAAAUAAUUUGACGCCUUAUCAUUAAGCUUCUCAUAAGCAGAAUCGUAAAUUAUAGACCUACAGUACAAUGCUGAAUACUUGAGUCUUUUCUGUACUUAGGGUGAAACAAAAAUAAUUUUAAGCUGAUUGUAAUGAUAUGUAAUUCAUGUGUUGAUAUUGAUAUUCUAAAUUAUUAAACACAUUGCAAACAAUA